This 774-nucleotide ribosomal RNA is filed under the name uncultured Neocallimastigales. RNAcentral's name for it is "partial large subunit ribosomal RNA". It matches the Rfam family "Eukaryotic large subunit ribosomal RNA", at positions 26 to 627 of the family's 3401-position model. Lineage: Eukaryota; Fungi; Neocallimastigomycota; Neocallimastigomycetes; Neocallimastigales. The record is from RNAcentral.
CGUCUAUAUACGUAUAGCAUAUCAAUAAGCGGAGGAAAAGAAGCUAACUAGGAUUCCCUCAGUAACGGCGAGUGAAGCGGGAAGAGCUCAAAUUUGAAAUCUUCAAGGUUCUACCUUGACGAAUUGUAGUUUAAAGAAGUGUUUUCUGUUGGAGUUUUGGUAAAAGUUCUUUGGAAUAGGACAUCGUAGAGGGUGAGAAUCCCGUAUUUGACCAUUAUUUCCAGCUUUGUGAUACACUUUCAAAGAGUCGGAUUGUUUGGGAAUGCAGUCCAAAAUGGGUGGUAAAUUUCAUCUAAAGCUAAAUACUGGCGAGAGACCGAUAGCGAACAAGUACCGUGAGGGAAAGAUGAAAAGAACUUUGAAAAGAGAGUUAAACAGUACGUGAAAUUGUCAAAAGGGAAGCGUUUGACACCAGUGUUGUUUUCUCGAAAAUCAAUUAAAAAUGGCAGGAUUUUGUGUUGUAUUGACUUUAUCAGCUUUCUGCUCUUUUUUCCUGUCUUUUUUAAUGCACUUUUCGUUUAACAAGUCAACAUCAAUUUCUUUUGUUGUAAAAGGGUCAUUGGAAGGUGGCUUUCUUUUCGGAGAAAGUGUUUAUAGCCUUUGACUUCUGCAAUCGGAGAGAUUGAGGUCUGCAGCGUAGAUCCUUCGGGGUUAGAUGCAUUUGUGCUAAGUUAUAGCCUUUCAUAGACAACUUGUUGACUAUGAUCAGUCAUGUAACUUACUCGCUUAUGUCAUUUUACCUACGCUUAGGAUGUUGACGAUCAGCUGAGCGCG